GCAAAGUAUGGCUGAUUUUGUCCAUUUGUAUCUCAUGAGAGUUGUCUUCAUGUACAUAUCCGGGCAAGCCAAAGUCUAGCCAUUUUUGGACUUUGCAUAGGUUGCUAUCCUUAUAAAGAUUUCUUUCACAGUCUUAACCUCCUUUGAUGCUUCAUCCAUCAAUAUUUUCAUAUAUAAAUGGCCAUUCUAUGCCGAUUAGUUGUGACAUGUUCAGUAUAUAAGCCAAUCUUGAAGAGUUGGUUUCACUAUGUUUGAGUUCAUGAGAUCCUUCCACCGGAAUCAUAGAGUCAUGCAUCAGCUACAUUGGUAUUCCCCAAGAAGGAUUUAUUGUUUUCAGUGACCACCUCUACCUCAUCCUCACCAUCCUUUGCAUCCAAAUUCCAUAAGACCAACAACUGAUGUAAGAAAGAUAGUAGGUAGCUCACAUCUAUCCAGUCCCUCUCUAGUAAUGCAUUGUAGGUAGAGAUCACUUCAAUUAUGAAGGAAGUGCUCAUGAAAAUUCAAGUUCCAACUGCAGAUAGACCAAUAGCACCCCCUUGGGCUUGCAUCAGUCAUCCAUGAAGUUGGUCACUACUAUAUCUACCACUAGCAAAUCUUCUUCACUCUUGCCGAGUUUUUUCAUGAUGUUGACAUAAUGUUGAUAACAACUCUAUUAUCUGCUAGAACCUCCCU
This 672-nucleotide long non-coding RNA is filed under the name Phoenix dactylifera (date palm). RNAcentral describes it as "long non-coding RNA (PDAC_LNC006922)". The record is from RNAcentral. Lineage: Eukaryota; Viridiplantae; Streptophyta; Magnoliopsida; Arecales; Arecaceae.